Long non-coding RNA from Bombina bombina (fire-bellied toad), 220 nucleotides. RefSeq lists it as uncharacterized. The transcript has 3 exons. Lineage: Eukaryota; Metazoa; Chordata; Amphibia; Anura; Bombinatoridae. The record is from RefSeq and is a predicted model, not a curated record.
CGGCAAGUGUAGGUUAAGUUCCUCCGGACGCUCCUCUUGAAGAAACUUUUGCAGCCCUCGCAGGCUCAGAAGUUCCAGCUAAACUCACAUGACUCCUCUCUAUCACUUUUUGGUCUUCUGUCCAGUAUAGCAGUAUAUUCCUGAAUACUCUGUGGCCAAGGACUUUGCUUCCUGGCUGGCACUACAGAUGCAGAUCCCUUCACGCCCAUAUGAUUUGCAG